RNAcentral lists this long non-coding RNA (956 nucleotides) under Dromaius novaehollandiae (emu). Its description in RNAcentral is "lncRNA (ENSDNVG00000015661.1)". The record is from RNAcentral. Lineage: Eukaryota; Metazoa; Chordata; Aves; Casuariiformes; Dromaiidae.
AAAUAAUUUUGAAAUAUAAUUCCAAUGACUGUGAACUGCAGUAGGAACAUUGCAGUUCCAUGGUAAUAUUACUCAGUAAUGUCAACUUUCUUGAGAGCUUUCAGUUAGCUAAUUUUUCAUCUAUUUAGCAUAUCUUUUUGAUAAUUUGUAGUGCUGGUUCUUAAAAUCAGGCUGAUUUGAUGUCUGUUGACUGUUAUGAUACUCUUCUCCUUUAAGUCUUCAUUUGCUGAAUUCAACGUGGAAUCAAUGGAUUUUGCCUUCUUUACUCUUGCUUCUUGCAUUUGUACAAAUGAAAAUGAGGAAUUUCUUAUGAUCUCUUGAGAUGCCGACUCCAAAAUGAUUCUUUGCUUAGGAUACCCACAAACCCACUGAGCAAACUGUUUCUCUUUGGUUGUGUAUUUUGCCCAGUCUCAUAUCUUAUGUCUUAUCUGAAGCACCUUUUCUGCUUCUCUCCCAGCAGGAACAAGUACGUGUCAAAAGGCACUUCUUCCUGGAAGCUAUUUGCACAGAAGCCUGAGCCCCAAGAACUGCGUUGUGCUGCUCAGGUUGUAUAUGUUAGGUGUAGUGAAGAAAGUAUGUUUCUUCAUGUUUCCUUCUGGAGAAAUCUGGCAACAGAUUGCCAAAUGCUGAAAAGGUUGUUUAACAGGAGCAAUUCUUAAAGCCACUUCCUAUUAUUUGGCUAUUUGAAAAGGGAAAUAAUCAAACCAGAAGACAUCUCUGGUGUCAAGAAGCUGCACAUGUGAAAGUUUGGAGUGUUGUAAUUUUUCUCCUGGUUCUAAUUUUAUUUAUAAAUAUCUGUGGCCUACUUAAAUAGAUGGACUGAACUUCUUCAAACUGAGAAAAAUCAGAUGCUUGCUUUCCUCAGGUGAGCAGUUGUGCAGACUCAAAGCAUUCAGAAAAAGUGAAUUAACUGAAGGUGUGGAAAUAAAAUACACUAAACCUUUUGUGGACGUGCA